This 510-nucleotide ribosomal RNA is filed under the name uncultured bacterium. RNAcentral's name for it is "partial 16S ribosomal RNA". It matches the Rfam family "Bacterial small subunit ribosomal RNA", at positions 28 to 507 of the family's 1533-position model. The record is from RNAcentral.
GACGAACGCUGGCGGCGUGCUUAACACAUGCAAGUCGAACGAAGAGCGACGGAAGCUUGCUUCUAUCAAUCUUAGUGGCGAACGGGUGAGUAACGCGUAAUCAACCUGCCCUUCAGAGGGGGACAACAGUUGGAAACGACUGCUAAUACCGCAUACGAUCUAAUCUCGGCAUCGAGGAUGGAUGAAAGGUGGCCUCUAAAUGUAAGCUAUCACUGAAGGAGGGGAUUGCGUCUGAUUAGCUAGUUGGAGGGGUAACGGCCCACCAAGGCGAUGAUCAGUAGCCGGUCUGAGAGGAUGAACGGCCACAUUGGGACUGAGACACGGCCCAGACUCCUACGGGAGGCAGCAGUGGGGAAUCUUCCGCAAUGGACGAAAGUCUGACGGAGCAACGCCGCGUGAGUGAUGACGGCCUUCGGGUUGUAAAGCUCUGUUAAUCGGGACGAAAGGCCUUCUUGCGAAUAGUGAGAAGGAUUGACGGUACCGGAAUAGAAAGCCACGGCUAACUACGUG